Molecule: ribosomal RNA, 433 nt
Filed under: Salmonella enterica
Lineage: Bacteria; Pseudomonadati; Pseudomonadota; Gammaproteobacteria; Enterobacterales; Enterobacteriaceae
Also listed under: 1 other name
Description: partial 23S ribosomal RNA
Rfam family: Bacterial large subunit ribosomal RNA
Source: RNAcentral
AAGGCUAAAUACUCCUGACUGACCGAUAGUGAACCAGUACCGUGAGGGAAAGGCGAAAAGAACCCCGGCGAGGGGAGUGAAAAAGAACCUGAAACCGUGUACGUACAAGCAGUGGGAGCCCCACCACUAAGCCAGUGGUGAACUCCACAUACGCAUCCUUUGCUGAGGAUACGGUUAACGGAGCGAAAGCGACGUUCAACCGCAAAAGAAGCAGAGGGGGCUUAGUGGUGGGGUGACUGCGUACCUUUUGUAUAAUGGGUCAGCGACUUAUAUUCUGUAGCAAGGUUAACCGUAUAGGGGAGCCGGAGGGAAACCGAGUCUUAACCGGGCGUUAAGUUGCAGGGUAUAGACCCGAAACCCGGUGAUCUAGCCAUGGGCAGGUUGAAGGUUGGGUAACACUAACUGGAGGACCGAACCGACUAAUGUUGAAAAA